CUACCCGUAGCCAAAUCAGGUAAGGCAGCUGGCUGCAACCCUUCGAUUCCCGGUUCAAAUCCGGGCGGGUAGUCCA
Molecule: transfer RNA, 76 nt
Filed under: Lachnospiraceae bacterium
Lineage: Bacteria; Bacillati; Bacillota; Clostridia; Lachnospirales; Lachnospiraceae
Description: tRNA-Cys
Rfam family: tRNA
About the family: Transfer RNA (tRNA) molecules are approximately 80 nucleotides in length. Their secondary structure includes four short double-helical elements and three loops (D, anti-codon, and T loops). Further hydrogen bonds mediate the characteristic L-shaped molecular structure. tRNAs have two regions of fundamental functional importance: the anti-codon, which is responsible for specific mRNA codon recognition, and the 3' end, to which the tRNAs corresponding amino acid is attached (by aminoacyl-tRNA synthetases). tRNAs cope with the degeneracy of the genetic code in two manners: having more than one tRNA (with a specific anti-codon) for a particular amino acid; and 'wobble' base-pairing, i.e. permitting non-standard base-pairing at the 3rd anti-codon position.
Source: RNAcentral